This 76-nucleotide transfer RNA is filed under the name Acidobacteriota bacterium. RNAcentral's name for it is "tRNA-His". It matches the Rfam family "tRNA". Rfam says of the family: Transfer RNA (tRNA) molecules are approximately 80 nucleotides in length. The record is from RNAcentral. Lineage: Bacteria; Pseudomonadati; Acidobacteriota.
UGGAUUGUAGCUUAACCGGCAAAGCACCGCGCUGUGAAUGCGGCGACUGCGAGUUCAAAUCUCGUCAAUCCACCCA